GCUUCUUAACCUUUAGGCCAACAUUAGCGGAGUUUAUUUCAAAUCAUGGUGAUGUAUGAUCCUCGACGCAGAUCUUCCAGAAGAUGUGUGAGGGUGUGGAGACUACAACUCUAGGCCCAGGGUGUGGGGCUUACCUAAGGGAGAUGCCAAGUAAUCUAACAGCACCUACAUGUAUGAUAAACUACAUGUGGGUACACCAUCCAGGAAUGAAGGAGUGGUGCGUCACUUGAGUGGGUUGAGUCACUAACGUGGUCUUCCUGUCUGGGUUGGCGCCCCCCCUUGGGUUGUGCCGUGGCGGAGAUCUUUGUGGGCUAUACUCGGCCUUGUCUCAGGAUGGACCUGAGCCCUAGGACCAUGCCUCAGGACUACCUGGCAUGAUGACUCCUUGCUGUCCCCAGUCCACCUGGCCGUGCUGCUGCUCCAGUUUCAAUUGUUCUGCCUGCGGCUAUGUAACCCGGACCUGUUCACCGGACGUGCUACCUGUCCCAGACCUGCUGUUUUCAACUCUCUAAAGACAGAAGUAGCGGUAGAGAUACUCUGAAUGAUCGGCUAUGAAAAGCCAACUGACAUUUACUCUUGAGGUGCUGACUUGUUGCACCCUCGACAACUACUGUGAUUAUUAUUAUUUGACCAUGCUGGUCAUUUAUGAACAUUUGAACAUCUUG
Molecule: long non-coding RNA, 665 nt
Filed under: Salmo salar (Atlantic salmon)
Lineage: Eukaryota; Metazoa; Chordata; Actinopteri; Salmoniformes; Salmonidae
Description: lncRNA (ENSSSAG00000117470.1)
Source: RNAcentral